UACGGGGGGUGCAAGCGUUAAUCGGAAUUACUGGGCGUAAAGCGCCCGCAGGCGGUUUGUUAAGUCAGAUGUGAAAUCCCCGGGCUCAACCUGGGAACUGCAUUUGAAACUGGCAAGCUAGAGUCUCGUAGAGGCGGGUAGAAUUCCAGGUGUAGCGGUGAAAUGCGUAGAGAUCUGGAGGAAUACCGGUGGCGAAGGCGGCCCCCUGGACCAAGACUGACGCUCAGGGGCGAAAGCGUGGGGAGCAAACAGG
This 253-nucleotide ribosomal RNA is filed under the name uncultured bacterium. Its description in RNAcentral is "partial 16S ribosomal RNA". It matches the Rfam family "Bacterial small subunit ribosomal RNA", at positions 524 to 776 of the family's 1533-position model. The record is from RNAcentral.